CGGAAGAAGUAGUUGACCACUUCACUAUCUAACGAUUAAUUCAUUUUCAUCUUAUGCAUAUCCAUGUCUUCCUCUUAUCCCCUACCAUCAACGAAUUCAGCAGAAGCAUUAUAUUCAUCAUCAACACAUGGAAAACCAUAUGAAGAAGUGUUCUUAAGUUUCAGAGAAGAAGAUACUCGUGCUACCUUCACUUCACAUCUCUACGAAGCUCUUCGACGCGCUGGAAUAACCGUUUUUAGAGACGAUUGCCACGGUGAUUUUCGGAGAUCAAAACUAUUGAUUAGACUUUGACUCGCAAAAUAAGAAGUCACCACCGAACUUUAAUUUAUCCAAGGGAAGGGGAAAAGAUGGAAUAAAACCCACAAAUAAACAUGCAACGCUAAAGAAGCAAUAAAGCAAUGCAAUAAGAGAUCAAGGUACGGGGGUUGAUUAUGCAAAGGGAAUGUAUUAGCACCCUAAGCAUCUAUAGUACUCUAUAGGAACCUCUUGUAAUAUAUAUGUUUUUGGCUAAAAUUGUUUGCUUGUAAAUGAUUGGGAAGAUGAGAAAAGAAAUGUCUUUUUUAUUAA
This is a long non-coding RNA of Trifolium pratense (red clover), 567 nucleotides long. RefSeq lists it as uncharacterized. NCBI's taxonomy places the organism in Eukaryota, Viridiplantae, Streptophyta, Magnoliopsida, Fabales, Fabaceae. The record is from RefSeq and is a predicted model, not a curated record. The transcript has 2 exons.